RNAcentral lists this ribosomal RNA (1679 nucleotides) under Channa striata (snakehead murrel). Its description in RNAcentral is "16S ribosomal RNA". It matches the Rfam family "Bacterial large subunit ribosomal RNA". The record is from RNAcentral. Lineage: Eukaryota; Metazoa; Chordata; Actinopteri; Anabantiformes; Channidae.
GCCAAACAGCUAGCCCAACCAAAUAAAACCAAAAAAUCACCAUAAAUACCCCCAGACACACAACCCAACUGAUUAAUCAAAUCAUUUUUCCACCUAAGUACGGGAGACGGAAAAGGAACCACGGAGCUAUAGACAAAGUACCGCAAGGGAACGCUGAAAGAGAAAUGAAACAAUCCAGUAAAGCAUAAAAAAGCAGAGACCAAUACUCGUACCUUUUGCAUCAUGAUUUAGCCAGAAAGCCCAAGCAAAGAGCACUUUAGUUUGACCCCCCGAAACUAAGUGAGCUACUUCAAGACAGCCUAUUUUAGGGCCAACCCGUCUCUGUGGCAAAAGAGUGGGAAGAACUUUGAGUAGAGGUGACAGACCUACCGAACUUAGUUAUAGCUGGUUGCCUAGAAAUUGAAUAUUAGUUCAGCCUUUUGAUUCUUUUACUCAUAUUACCCUUAACCCAUUUGACAUCAGAAGAAUCAAAAGAGUUAGUCAAAGGGGGUACAGCCCCUUUGAACAAAGAUACAACUUUUUUAGGUGGGUAAAGAUCAAAUUAAAAAAGGACAGACGUCUUAGUGGGCCUAAAAGCAGCCACCCAAAAAGAAAGCGUUAAAGCUCAGACGUACCCCAUCUCCUACAAUCUUGAUACCUCAAUCUUAACCCCCUUAUACUACUAGGCUGUUUCAUGCAAACAUGAAAGCACUAAUGCUAAUAUGAGUAAUAAGAGAGAACCAUCUCUCUCCUCGCACGCAUGUACAUCGGAACGGACCCCCCACCGAAUAUUACCGGCCCCAAGCAAAGAGGGUAAUGAUUAACAAAUAAAUACCUAGAAAAACCCCCACAAAUCAACCGUUAAGCCCACACUGGCGUGCCAACAAGGAAAGACCUAAAGAAAAAGAAGGAACUCGGCAAACACACUAAGCCUCGCCUGUUUUCCAAAAACAUCGCCUCUUGUAAACUAAAAAUAAGAGGUCCCGCCUGCCCAGUGACAAUUAGUUAAACGGCCGCGGUAUUUUGACCGUGCAAAGGUAGCGCAAUCACUUGUCUUUUAAAUGAAGACCCGUAUGAAUGGCACAACGAGGGCCUAACUGUCUCCUUUUUCAAGUCAAUGAAAUUGAUCUUCCCGUGCAGAAGCGGGAAUAAAACCAUAAGACGAGAAGACCCUAUGGAGCUUUAGACGCCAGGACAGACCUUGUUAAACACCCCAGACAAAGGACCAAACCCAGAGGACCCUGCCCACAUGUCUUUGGUUGGGGCGACCGCGGGGAAUACAAAACCCCCAUGUGGAACAGGAGGACACCUCCUACAACCAAGAGCCACAGCUCUAAGCAAUAGAAUUUCUAACCUAAAGAUCCGGCAAAGCCGAUCAACGAACCGAGUUACCCUAGGGAUAACAGCGCAAUCCCCUUCUAGAGUCCAUAUCGACAAGAGGGUUUACGACCUCGAUGUUGGAUCAGGACAUCCUAAUGGUGCAGCCGCUAUUAAGGGUUCGUUUGUUCAACGAUUAAAGUCCUACGUGAUCUGAGUUCAGACCGGAGUAAUCCAGGUCAGUUUCUAUCUAUGAAUUGUUUUUUUCUAGUACGAAAGGACCGAAAAAAAGAGGCCCAUGCUGUAAGCACGCCUCUCCCCCACCUAAUGAAAAUAACUAAAUUAGGCAAUAGGGCAUGCCCCUAUGCCUAAGAUAAUGGCAA